UAGGAGCUAGACUGUGUUUAUGGUUAGAC
This 29-nucleotide non-coding RNA is filed under the name Mus musculus (house mouse). The record is from RNAcentral. Lineage: Eukaryota; Metazoa; Chordata; Mammalia; Rodentia; Muridae.